CCAGGACGUGCAAACAGUUGAGCAAGCCUUUUAUGAAUUUUCAUAGAACAUUUAACACAAUCCAGGAGAACUAGCUCUUUGCCAGCAUCCAGCAUUGAUCAUUCAGUUGGCACCGUGUCUGGCCCCAAACAAGAAUUCCACAAAAGCGCCCAACUUCCCAUCUUAUCCAGCCCCCAUUUCUGGCUGCCUGAUGCCGAUGUGUCUGUUACCUGGGGCAAGCCAGAAGGCAGUUUCCAGAGAUGAGAUGCUCCGAGAGAUGAACAGCUGAUGACCGUGACUGUGCCUUUGUGCUGGCGAGACCCAGACCCCCAGGCACCCAGUCUUCCAAGUCUUUCGAGUCUUGUGGUGGCAUCUGAGGGGUGAACAUACAAAUUAAUCUUCAUCUGGCACUCGCACCCACAACACCACCCAACUAAGCUUCUGACCGCUCAAGCUCGCUAUUUGAAAGCGAUGCGAAAAAGACAAUAACAAAUCAACGUACUGAUACUAAGGGAAAGCUGCCAUGGUUUAUUGCAAUCAACUUAAAUCUUAACACUAUUAUCUGGCAAUU
Molecule: non-coding RNA, 550 nt
Organism: Drosophila melanogaster (fruit fly)
Lineage: Eukaryota; Metazoa; Arthropoda; Insecta; Diptera; Drosophilidae
Source: Ensembl